GAUGAAGAACGCAGCGAAAUGCGAUAAGUAGUGUGAAUUGCAGAAUUCAGUGAAUCAUCGAAUCUUUGAACGCACAUUGCGCCUUCUAGUAUUCUGGGAGGCAUGCCUGUUUGAGCGUCAUUACAACCCUCAAGCUUUGCUUGGUAUUGGACAUUGCCAGUUUCUGGCAGGUCUUAAAAUCAGUGGCGGUGCCAUUUGGCUUCAAGCGUAGUAAUUCUUCUCGCUUUGGAGAUCCAGGUGGUUACUUGCCAAUAACCCCCAAUUUUUUCAGGUUGACCUCGGAUCAGGUAGGGAUACCCGCUGAACUUAAGCAUAUCAAUAAGCGGAGGA
This 330-nucleotide unclassified non-coding RNA is filed under the name soil metagenome. RNAcentral's name for it is "partial contains 5.8S ribosomal RNA, internal transcribed spacer 2, and large subunit ribosomal RNA". The stretch from base 1 to 120 matches the Rfam family "5.8S ribosomal RNA", at positions 35 to 154 of the family's 154-position model. The record is from RNAcentral.